GUGCUCGCUUCAGCAGCACAUAAACUAAAAUUGGAACAAUACAGAGAUGAUUAGCAUGGCCCCUGUGCAAGGAUGACACGCAAAUUCAUGAAGCGUUCCAUAUUUAA
This 107-nucleotide small nuclear RNA is filed under the name Ursus americanus (American black bear). Lineage: Eukaryota; Metazoa; Chordata; Mammalia; Carnivora; Ursidae. The record is from RNAcentral.